This 1311-nucleotide long non-coding RNA is filed under the name Calidris pugnax (ruff). Its description in RNAcentral is "lncRNA (ENSCPUG00000001415.1)". The stretch from base 718 to 799 matches the Rfam family "mir-181 microRNA precursor family". The record is from RNAcentral. Lineage: Eukaryota; Metazoa; Chordata; Aves; Charadriiformes; Scolopacidae.
AUAAAGGGAAAACGGACUCACUAGGAGGACCUAGACUCUUUCAGCUUGAACUGUUAACCAAUGGUGGAAAUGCAAGAAUGCUGAAGUUGUUCCUUCGGAGCCAAUAGAGUGGAUUUGUGUGUCCCACAUGACUGUGUUUCCCCUGUCUUUCACAUGGGCAGUAUUUAGUUCAAUUCAGAACUGCAGAUAGUAUAGCGUGCAGAGCAGCAAUGGGAUGUCUGAGCACAAGUGGCUGACUUCCAGGCGACUUCAGGAAGCACAUUUUUACAUUUCUCCUGAAUUAAACUGGGAUUCUGCACCCUUGACAUCCUCCUACCCUCCUUGUCUCUGCAGGAGGAGACAGCGACCUGCACAGCACAACGAAACUAUUGCUUAAAAACAAAUGCAGAAGUUUGCUGCGAGGCAAAUGGAAGUUGGGCACCUUUGCCUUCCAGAGGUGGUAACUCUACCUUUCACUGAGAUUAGCAAAAUCUACAAAGUCUCUCUUCAAAACAAACGAGAGAAGUUUGGAAAAUUGCCAGCUCCUUGCACAAAGACUGAAAUGGGAUGGGCAGAGAAGUGUGUUGGUGGCGACAUUUGCGGAUGCUGUCAAGUCAAUGGACUUCUGUUGUAGUGGUUGCUUCAGUGAACAUUCAACGCUGUCGGCCUUAACACCGAAGAUAGCAACCUAACCACCACAUGAUGUUUCUCCCCCACUCUCUCAAGCUUUACCACAAAAGGUCACAAUCAACAUUCAUUGCUGUCGGUGGGUUUAACUAUGUGGACAAGCUCACUGAACAAUGAAUGCAACUGUGGCCCCACAUUUUACAGUUGCCAUUGAGAGGCACAUCAGCUCUGAAAGCAGUAGUGAGAAGCAAACACUUCUUAUAGGCUAUAUUUUUAUGGUAAAAAAAAAAAAAAAUAGUUGGGGAUAGUCACUUUUUGCUUGCGUGUUUGUAAAUGUGUUUAACUUCGCUGACUAGGAAAAAAAACACCUCACUGCCUUUUUCUGAAAUAUUGUCCUCCCAGGGAUAAGCAUCGUUGAAACGACAGUCAGUAUAUAGGUGGAAACUAAUAACAACAUGAAGAAAUUUGUGUAUAUUCACUCCUAAGGACUCUGAGCAUAAGAGGAAAGAAUAUUUAAAUCUUAUGUUAACUAGGCAUUGUGGAAUAGUUCAAAAAUUUCUUCUAUGCUUGUCACAGCAAAUGCAAAUGGGAGCCAGAGUUCAAAGACAUAGAUAAAAUAUUAUAUCAAAGGAUUCAUUAAUUUUAUACGAAACUGAUCUUAAGCACCUAAAUAAAUAUUAUUAGACAGCAAAUACUACUAUAUUU